UGUCUCUCUCAGAAUAUCGUUAUUGUUUUCAUAAUAAUUUGACGAACAAUUAUCCCAUAUUCGAUGAUCGAAUAAUGAAUAUUAUUCGGCAUGUUUGCAGUAUAACGGUUUACCCGACGUUAGUAUACAAGGAGAAAUAGUUAGGCAAUUUGUACACACGCGUGUAGCUUUGUGAGUAAACACCAUAUAUUAUUAUCAUGUUCAAUAGCUGAAGCCGCCCAUUGGGUA
Cinara cedri is the source of this 228-nucleotide non-coding RNA. Lineage: Eukaryota; Metazoa; Arthropoda; Insecta; Hemiptera; Aphididae. The record is from the annotation of a GenBank genome assembly.